Molecule: long non-coding RNA, 1803 nt
Filed under: Capsicum annuum
Lineage: Eukaryota; Viridiplantae; Streptophyta; Magnoliopsida; Solanales; Solanaceae
Description: long non-coding RNA (CANN_LNC002550)
Source: RNAcentral
CCACACGCUCAUGUAAAGUUAAAAUUUAGGUAGAAAAAAAAUAUAUUUUCAAUUCACCAACCAAACACCAUAAAAUAUUUUCCACUCAGCAACCAAACAUAAGAAAAUAAAUAAAAUACCAACUUAUUUUCGAUGCAAAAUAUUUUCCAUCAUACCAAACACACCCUAAGAGCAGCUAUAGUGGCAUUCAACCUCUUAAUCUUUGUCUCCAGGAACCCAAAUAAGCCAACUUUGCUGUUGGUGAGAAAUAUAUUCAUUUCUUUCUAUUUAUUUAGCUUAUUUAGUACCCCGAUGUUCCGAAAACCAAGUCUAUCCAGCGGGGGGGGAGAGGGGGGGGGGGGGGGUAGUUCCACCCCUCCCUGUGCUUAGACCCACUCUUUUUAUAUUAGGACUCUCAUUGUCAUGACCCUGCUGCUGUUCUUCUCCCCCCCUCCCCUAUUACUAGGCUCAGGUGGUAGCAUUUCUGCAUCAGGACCAGUGCCCUGUUGCCUUUGCUUGCCCUCAUCUAAUCUGUCUUCUUCCUUAAAUAAGGCAAAGGAAUUGUGAGUUGUAUGGAUUUAUCCUUCAGUUGCACCCCAGCCUUCUUGGGGCUCUGUUGCUUGCCCUGGAUCAUGUUAUUUCCUGCUGCUUUGUGUGGAGUGGAUACAGACUUUCCCUAUCGUUGUGCCCCUUUCUCAUUUACCUCCCUUAACAGACCCCUGCAAGUUUUCUUGGUAUGACCAAAGUUCUUACAAUGCUCACAAAGAGUUUUCUUCCAUUCAUACUCUACCUCUUGCUCGACGACCUUCCCUAACUCAUUCUCAAACAUAAUCAUAUCAGGAUAAAGCUGAUUCAAGGGCACUUCAACCAUAACCCUUGCAUACAUCAAUUUCUCUUUUGAUGUAGUAGCUGUAUCUGCCUUCACAGAAUUCUCCACAAGCCCAACUUAGUCAAAACAUUGCAACCCCAAUACUUCUAAUCCAGCCAUAUGAGCUUGAUCCAAUUUGGCACCUGUUCAACCAUAACUCUGCUAAGCUUCAUGUUCGAUUGCCAUGGUUUCACUACUACCAACUUCCGAUCAAAUAUUUGCAUACCUUUCUCCACUACCUGAGUACGACUAUCCACACUAUAAAAUCAAACCAUAAACACUCCUUUGUUCAGCUGAACAACUUUAUCCACAUCCAGGGAUCCCUAAAUUCAUUUGAAAAAACCUCAAACACUGCAAGUGGUGGAUUAGAACCCAGAACAAAGCAUUAUGUUCAAGCUCUUCCUUUACAUAAUCAAGUGUGAUUUUGACAUUGAGCCCCAAGUUUGCCUCGCUUGUCAAAUCAAAACCCUCUAUCGGUAUAGUUCUCCCCACCAUAACACACCACAAUUUUCCCCUAAUUUCAGAGUGCACAAUCUCUUCUAAGCUAACCACUUCCUCCUAUUCAACUUGCUUAGUUCAGGAAUUGAGCCUGGUUUCCAAAUCCUCAAUGAUGAUGCAUUUGUCGAAGGCGAAAUUGCUUGUCCUUGCUUUAAAUCUUAGUCUAGUGGUAAAACCCCCUGAAUCACACUGAGACUUCGGGUACAUCGCCCGUUUGUGGGCCUCUCCUGAUCAUCCUAGCCACCAAUUGCCGCCCUCUGCCUCCAUUGCUGUCAUUACUCCUUCCUCUAGGUUUCAAUUUCCUCGCCAUAUCAUCCCUAGUAGCUAAGAGGAGACUUCAUUUUAGAGAGAGAAAUUCUUUGAUUAUAUCAUCUUCUAUUUGAAAUUGAAGAUCGAUAUCAUUAUUUCUAUCAAUGUCCUUGAGUCUUUAAUUCGUUUUUUAAAACUGAAUAUAAAAU